RNAcentral lists this ribosomal RNA (780 nucleotides) under uncultured cyanobacterium. RNAcentral's name for it is "bacterial SSU rRNA". It matches the Rfam family "Bacterial small subunit ribosomal RNA", at positions 37 to 859 of the family's 1533-position model. The record is from RNAcentral. Lineage: Bacteria; Bacillati; Cyanobacteriota.
UGGCGGCGUGCCUAACACAUGCAAGUCGAACGGGAAUCUUCGGAUUCUAGUGGCGGACGGGUGAGUAACGCGUAAGAAUCUAACUUCAGGACGGGGACAACAGUUGGAAACGACUGCUAAUACCCGAUGUGCCGCAAGGUGAAUCCUAAUUGGCCUGAAGAAGAGCUUGCGUCUGAUUAGCUAGUUGGUGGGGUAAAGGCCUACCAAGGCAACGAUCAGUAGCUGGUCUGAGAGGAUGAGCAGCCACACUGGGACUGAGACACGGCCCAGACUCCUACGGGAGGCAGCAGUGGGGAAUUUUCCGCAAUGGGCGAAAGCCUGACGGAGCAACGCCGCGUGAGGGAGGAAGGUCUUUGGAUUGUAAACCUCUUUUCUCAAGGAAGAAGUUCUGACGGUACUUGAGGAAUCAGCCUCGGCUAACUCCGUGCCAGCAGCCGCGGUAAUACGGGGGAGGCAAGCGUUAUCCGGAAUUAUUGGGCGUAAAGCGUCCGCAGGUGGUCAGCCAAGUCUGCCGUCAAAUCAGGUUGCUUAACGACCUAAAGGCGGUGGAAACUGGCAGACUAGAGAGCAGUAGGGGUAGCAGGAAUUCCCAGUGUAGCGGUGAAAUGCGUAGAGAUUGGGAAGAACAUCGGUGGCGAAAGCGUGCUACUGGGCUGUAUCUGACACUCAGGGACGAAAGCUAGGGGAGCGAAAGGGAUUAGAUACCCCUGUAGUCCUAGCCGUAAACGAUGGAUACUAGGCGUGGCUUGUAUCGACCCGAGCCGUGCCGAAGCUAACGCG